Molecule: small RNA, 846 nt
Filed under: Arabidopsis thaliana (thale cress)
Lineage: Eukaryota; Viridiplantae; Streptophyta; Magnoliopsida; Brassicales; Brassicaceae
Description: ATSL151330
Source: RNAcentral
ACCACAAAAUUAUCAUUUUUGAUAUUGCUUUUCUCCAUGACUAUUACAAUUCAAUUAUAAUCUUCAAACCGCAAAGAUAUUUGAUAGCAUUUAAUUACUACAAAUUUACAAAAUAUUUAGACAAUAAUUCAUAAACAUAUCAUAAAUAAGAUCAACAUUAAUAAAAUAAAUAGUUUUUUUAUGGGACGGGUUGGCGGGACGGGUUUGGCAGGACGUUACGUAAUAACAAUUGUAAACUAUAAAAUAAAAAUAUUUUAUAGAUAGAUACAAUUUGCAAACUUUUAUGUAUACUAACUUUAAAAAAUAAAUUGUUUACGCGGUGUACCGCGGGUUAAGAUCUAGUAUCACUACAAAAAAGCAGCAGAAAUUUCAUCCUCAAAAAUUUGAAGGGAUUUUGAUCAAGAGGGACCGAUAUAGAACUCUUUGCAAAUUCAUUGAAUUUUCGAAAGAAUUUCUUUCUCUCGGAAAUUGACGAUAUUUCCGGGCAUUUCUGACAACAUACGACUUUUGAUAUAACCGAACCUUAUUACCACCAUCUUGAUCCUUUUUUUUUAACAACAUAACUAGGGGUGUCAAAAUGGGUCAAAAUUCAUGGGUCAACUCAACUCAACUCAACCCAUGAACCCUAAUGAGUUGAAAAUUUUGACUCGAAUGAGUUGAUGGGUCAAAUGAGUUGAUGAGUCAAUUGGUGUGAUGAGUAAAAUGAGUUGGGUUGUAAUGGUUAAUAGUUUCAAUGAUUUACCCAAUUAACCCAUCAAAUUUUGUAAAAUUGAAUUAAACCAACUAAAAUCUCUAAAUCAAUACCAAUUUAAGUUUAACCAACACAUCUAAACCAAUUUAAUAAAA